GGGUUGUGAGGUUAAGCGACUAAGCGUACACGGUGGAUGCCCUGGCAGUCAGAGGCGAUGAAGGACGUGCUAAUCUGCGAAAAGCGUCGGUAAGGUGAUAUGAACCGUUAUAGCCGGCGAUGUCCGAAUGGGGAAACCCAGUGUGAUUCGUCACACUAUCGUUAACUGAAUACAUAGGUUAACGAGGCGAACCGGGGGAACUGAAACAUCUAAGUACCCCGAGGAAAAGAAAUCAACCGAGAUUCCCCCAGUAGCGGCGAGCGAACGGGGAGCAGCCCAGAGUCUGAAUCAGCUUGUGUGUUAGUGGAACGGUCUGGAAAGUCCGACGGUACAGGGUGAUAGUCCCGUACACCAAAAUGCACAGGCUGUGAACUCGAAGAGUAGGGCGGGACACGUGGUAUCCUGUCUGAAUAUGGGGGGACCAUCCUCCAAGGCUAAAUACUCCUGACUGACCGAUAGUGAACCAGUACCGUGAGGGAAAGGCGAAAAGAACCCCGGCGAGGGGAGUGAAAAAGAACCUGAAACCGUGUACGUACAAGCAGUGGGAGCACCUUCGGGUGUGACUGCGUACCUUUUGUAUAAUGGGUCAGCGACUUAUAUUCUGUAGCAAGGUUAACCGUAUAGGGGAGCCGCAGGGAAACCGAGUCUUAACUGGGCGUUAAGUUGCAGGGUAUAGACCCGAAACCCGGUGAUCUAGCCAUGGGCAGGUUGAAGGUUGGGUAACACUAACUGGAGGACCGAACCGACUAAUGUUGAAAAAUUAGCGGAUGACUUGUGGCUGGGGGUGAAAGGCCAAUCAAACCGGGAGAUAGCUGGUUCUCCCCGAAAGCUAUUUAGGUAGCGCCUCGUGAACUCAUCUUCGGGGGUAGAGCACUGUUUCGGCUAGGGGGUCAUCCCGACUUACCAACCCGAUGCAAACUACGAAUACCGAAGAAUGUUAUCACGGGAGACACACGGCGGGUGCUAACGUCCGUCGUGAAGAGGGAAACAACCCAGACCGCCAGCUAAGGUCCCAAAGUCAUGGUUAAGUGGGAAACGAUGUGGGAAGGCACAGACAGCCAGGAUGUUGGCUUAGAAGCAGCCAUCAUUUAAAGAAAGCGUAAUAGCUCACUGGUCGAGUCGGCCUGCGCGGAAGAUGUAACGGGGCUAAACCAUGCACCGAAGCUGCGGCAGCGACACUAUGUGUUGUUGGGUAGGGGAGCGUUCUGUAAGCCUGCGAAGGUGACCUGUGAGGGUUGCUGGAGGUAUCAGAAGUGCGAAUGCUGACAUAAGUAACGAUAAAGCGGGUGAAAAGCCCGCUCGCCGGAAGACCAAGGGUUCCUGUCCAACGUUAAUCGGGGCAGGGUGAGUCGACCCCUAAGGCGAGGCCGAAAGGCGUAGUCGAUGGGAAACAGGUUAAUAUUCCUGUACUUGGUGUUACUGCGAAGGGGGGACGGAGAAGGCUAUGUUAGCCGGGCGACGGUUGUCCCGGUUUAAGCAUGUAGGCUGAUUAUCCAGGCAAAUCCGGAUAAUCAAGGCUGAGGUGUGAUGACGAGGCACUACGGUGCUGAAGUAACAAAUGCCCUGCUUCCAGGAAAAGCCUCUAAGCAUCAGGUAACAUCAAAUCGUACCCCAAACCGACACAGGUGGUCAGGUAGAGAAUACCAAGGCGCUUGAGAGAACUCGGGUGAAGGAACUAGGCAAAAUGGUGCCGUAACUUCGGGAGAAGGCACGCUGGUGUGUAGGUGAAGUCCCUGCGGAUGGAGCUGAGACCAGUCGAAGAUACCAGCUGGCUGCAACUGUUUAUUAAAAACACAGCACUGUGCAAACACGAAAGUGGACGUAUACGGUGUGACGCCUGCCCGGUGCCGGAAGGUUAAUUGAUGGGGUUAUCCGUAAGGAGAAGCUCUUGAUCGAAGCCCCGGUAAACGGCGGCCGUAACUAUAACGGUCCUAAGGUAGCGAAAUUCCUUGUCGGGUAAGUUCCGACCUGCACGAAUGGCGUAAUGAUGGCCAGGCUGUCUCCACCCGAGACUCAGUGAAAUUGAACUCGCUGUGAAGAUGCAGUGUACCCGCGGCAAGACGGAAAGACCCCGUGAACCUUUACUAUAGCUUGACACUGAACAUUGAGCCUUGAUGUGUAGGAUAGGUGGGAGGCUUUGAAGCGUGGACGCCAGUCUGCGUGGAGCCAACCUUGAAAUACCACCCUUUAAUGUUUGAUGUUCUAACGUUGGCCCCUUAUCGGGGUUGCGGACAGUGUCUGGUGGGUAGUUUGACUGGGGCGGUCUCCUCCCAAAGCGUAACGGAGGAGCACGAAGGUUAGCUAAUCCUGGUCGGACAUCAGGAGGUUAGUGCAAUGGCAUAAGCUAGCUUGACUGCGAGCGUGACGGCGCGAGCAGGUGCGAAAGCAGGUCAUAGUGAUCCGGUGGUUCUGAAUGGAAGGGCCAUCGCUCAACGGAUAAAAGGUACUCCGGGGAUAACAGGCUGAUACCGCCCAAGAGUUCAUAUCGACGGCGGUGUUUGGCACCUCGAUGUCGGCUCAUCACAUCCUGGGGCUGAAGUAGGUCCCAAGGGUAUGGCUGUUCGCCAUUUAAAGUGGUACGCGAGCUGGGUUUAGAACGUCGUGAGACAGUUCGGUCCCUAUCUGCCGUGGGCGCUGGAGAAUUGAGGGGGGCUGCUCCUAGUACGAGAGGACCGGAGUGGACGCAUCACUGGUGUUCGGGUUGUCAUGCCAAUGGCACUGCCCGGUAGCUAAAUGCGGAAGAGAUAAGUGCUGAAAGCAUCUAAGCACGAAACUUGCCCCGAGAUGAGUUCUCCCUGAGACUUUAAGUCUCCUGAAGGAACGUUAAAGACGAUGACGUUGAUAGGCCGGGUGUGUAAGCGCAGCGAUGCGUUGAGCUAACCGGUACUAAUGAACCGUGAGGCUUAACCUUACAACGCCGAAG
This 2923-nucleotide ribosomal RNA is filed under the name Klebsiella pneumoniae. Its description in RNAcentral is "bacterial LSU rRNA". It matches the Rfam family "Bacterial large subunit ribosomal RNA". Lineage: Bacteria; Pseudomonadati; Pseudomonadota; Gammaproteobacteria; Enterobacterales; Enterobacteriaceae. The record is from RNAcentral.